GGAGGGUUUUAUUAUGCCAUGUACGGGAUAUUUGCCAUAUAGAGCUGUGUUACUUACAACUUACAAUCAUAUACCGCUUUAUAUGAUUUGUUUCCCCCCCCCCCUUCUUGUGUAUCGUUGAUUUAUAAUGCCAAGAGGAAGGAUAGCUGGCGUAUCCCCUCAAGAGAUAUUGACGCGGACAAGGCUUCAUGUCUAGACUGUUGUUUCUUUUACCUCUACCACCCGGGGAGGUAUCUGCCAAUAUAGUCUCAAAGCUACCAAACUAUACCGUUGAGUACCUGUUUUUUGACAUGUGGACUCCCUAAGUAGGGACGAUUUAGAGCUACCCCAUGUAUAGGCGUGUAUAUGCACCCGUCUUCUCUAUACUAUUGGUAAAAUGCUGCGCUAUGUUGGGUGCACUCCAGGCUUUUAAUAGCAGGGACUGUCCCCUCCUUGUGGCCAGCUAAUACCUUGUCAUCAAGCACACUACUCGGCUUAUGUUGAGGUGCGCUAGGAUGCGAAGAGUUGACACGGGUUGCUAGGCAACGCGCCUGGGGUAUACGCUCGCAGCAGCUCGACUCGCGGACUAACUUCCGGUUCACCUCUGUGAGAAAAACUAAGGGUCGCGCUGACUGCAGUUAUUACCGGCACGGCUGAGACUGGCACAAGUUACUAUCAGGGAAUACAGGAGAAGAAAGCCAUUUAUAUGUACUGGGGAUGACUUUGACGUAGUUGGCCAGCUGAAAUAUAUUGCAAUAUAUGGACAAUCCCUGUUUUGUUUAAAGGUCUUAUCUUCUUGUCCUGGUACAAAGUCCGGGUUAUCGCAUGGGCAUUAAGACCGAGGGAUAGCAAUUAACACAUUUAUGCGACUCCCAGCAGAUAUGUGGAGAGUUCAUUGUGAAGUGCCAUAAUUACCUUCUGCAGCAUCCCUUUAAUCUCGGACUUCAUCAGAAGAUAUUCCAGGUACAAAGCCUGCUUGAUGUUCAGGUAUUAAAUCUGAUUACUGCAGAGAGCAGUUUCCCAUAUUGUGGCCGGUUUUGCAUCUGAUUCUGCAUUUUCUUUUACAAUUUGAAAAAUCAUAUCUCUGAUCUUAUAUUUUUUCUCUUGUUUAUGAAGUAAUAAAUUGUUAAAUCUCCAUGUGUAUUCUCUUUUUUUGGGGUAGAUCUAUCAUAAGUGGGGAAGUGAUCUGAAAACAGUCCCAUACCUAUGUUUGCUUUUGUGACCAAGUGUAACCAUGCUUAUGAAAUAAAUAUAUGAACUAUCCUGAAAUAAACUUGGUGAGUUUUCGAAAAAAAAAAAAAAAACUGUAUAAUCUUUCUCCUUAGGAUAUAAAAUUCUCCAUGUCCACCAAGUGUAACUCUGGUAGUUUUUGUUUUAUCCUUUUUAAGCCCUUAUAGGAGAUAUGACUUAUGUUGUUGGAGGAAUACAUCAUUGGAUUCAAUAUCAAAUUAAGAUCUCCUCCCAAUAUAACUAAACCCUCCAUAAAAGUUCUCAGUUCGUCCAAAAACUUUGUUAAAUAUUUCACUUGAGCUUGAUUGGGUGCAUAAACAUUGGCUAUGUUCACUUUCAGUGCCCCUAACUUUCCCUUUAUUAUAUAUAUCUACCUUUCUUAUCCUUUUUGUUAUUGUGUACUUCCAAGGGUACAUCUUUAUCAUUACUCCUGUUGCUUUCUACUAAGUGUUAUUACUAUAGUAUAUCGGUGAAUAUUAUUUUGUCAACAAGCUUUGGAGUAUGACCUUCUUUAAAAUGUUUCUUGCAUCAAUACUAUGUAAGCUUGCAACUUUUUACAGGUCUGUAGAAUUUUACUCGUUUUAAAAAGCUAAUUGUCUCAAAAUAUCUUCUUUAAAAUUAAAGGGAAGAAGAAAAAAUAAAA
Long non-coding RNA from Xenopus laevis (African clawed frog), 1852 nucleotides. RefSeq lists it as uncharacterized. NCBI's taxonomy places the organism in Eukaryota, Metazoa, Chordata, Amphibia, Anura, Pipidae. The record is from RefSeq and is a predicted model, not a curated record. The transcript has 7 exons.